ACUACGGGAGGCAGCAGUGAGGAAUAUUGGUCAAUGGGCGUAAGCCUGAACCAGCCAAGUCGCGUGAGGGAUGAAGGUUCAAUGGAUCGUAAACCUCUUUUAUAAGGGAAUAAAGUGCGGGACGUGUCCCGUUUUGUAUGUACCUUAUGAAUAAGGAUCGGCUAACUCCGUGCCAGCAGCCGCGGUAAUACGGAGGAUCCGAGCGUUAUCCGGAUUUAUUGGGUUUAAAGGGUGCGUAGGCGGCCUUUUAAGUCAGCGGUAAAAGGCGGUGGCUCAACCCCAGAAUUGCCGUUGAAACUGGGAGGCUUGAGUAUGUGUGAGGCAGGCGGAAUGCGUGGUGUAGCGGUGAAAUGCAUAGAUAUCACGCAGAACCCCGAUUGCGAAGGCAGCCUGCCAAGCCAUGACUGACGCUGAUGCACGAAAGCGUGGGGAUCGAACAGGAUUAGAUACCCGUGUAGUC
RNAcentral lists this ribosomal RNA (460 nucleotides) under uncultured bacterium. Its description in RNAcentral is "partial 16S ribosomal RNA". It matches the Rfam family "Bacterial small subunit ribosomal RNA", at positions 338 to 795 of the family's 1533-position model. The record is from RNAcentral.